RNAcentral lists this long non-coding RNA (369 nucleotides) under Meriones unguiculatus (Mongolian gerbil). RNAcentral describes it as "lncRNA (ENSMUGG00000016894.1)". The record is from RNAcentral. Lineage: Eukaryota; Metazoa; Chordata; Mammalia; Rodentia; Muridae.
GGGUGUCAGGAGUGGCGCUGUCCUGCAUCCGGCACCGUAGCGGGGUGGCUGCGAGGGGCGAGCGGACGCGCUGGUGCACCCUUCUGCACACUAGCUUCUUCGGGGCUCUGUUCCCUAAGUUGUCCGUCUGUUUGGCUAGGUGUAGUUGGCACAGAAAAGACUUCCUGGGCAUCUGUUCCCAGGAACUGGGCUGGCCCCUCCCAGGAGGAAAUUGGUAAAGAAAGGAAUGAGUGGGCCAUGGAAAGAAAAGGCGGGCAAGAUGGACCUGGAGCCCAGCAACAAGGAAGAAAACAGGCGACCUCCCAGAGCCUGGAGGGAUGCCAGACCCUUAGCAAGGACCCAGCAAACAUUUGAUGAAGAAAGGAUGGG